RNAcentral lists this long non-coding RNA (3623 nucleotides) under Lactuca sativa (garden lettuce). RNAcentral's name for it is "long non-coding RNA (LSAT_LNC003562)". The record is from RNAcentral. Lineage: Eukaryota; Viridiplantae; Streptophyta; Magnoliopsida; Asterales; Asteraceae.
UUAUCUUUGAUUUGUUGGGUAUUUUUAGGAGUAAUUUCUCUAGUUCGAUUUUAGGGUUUUCUUAUCUGCAACGAAGGUUCCAUUUCAGAUUUUUUUUCUUAAUUAUUUAUCUGCAAGUGUCUUCGGGUUUCCAUUAUUUUUAUUAUUUUUUUUUAUAUUUCAUUACAUACAUGUGUAGAAGGUGAUUUUUUUCCUAGGGACAUGUAUUAUUCAGAAAAAUUUAACCAUGUAAAACUUUUUGUACCCUUUCCUUAUUCAGAUCUGUGUUUUCGGUCUCUCAAUUUAUACCAAUCAUGAUAUUUGAUUUCUUAAUCUCAACUAGCGUAAUUUACUCUUAUUAAAUUGGUAAAAAGAGUAUUGUAUUUUGUUUUUUUCCUGUAGAUUACCCUUAUUAAAUUGAUAUGUUAGAAGUCGGUUUGUUUAGCAAUUUGAUUAGUUGUAUGUAUUACUCUGAUGACAAAUCAGCAAAGAACCUGACAAUAUGAACUAAAUAUAAAUGUAUGUUACUUCCAAUACUUAAUUUGAUAAUGAUAUAUAUCUUUUUUUUGCUUUCUACAGAACAUCAAGAUCAUACCAUGGCUACAGCGAGCACAGUUGCUGCUAAAGAAACAAUAUACAAAAAUUCAAAAGGUAGAACCUUUAUUUAUAAACAUUGAUAUUUUACUUUGAUGGUCAAACAAGCUAUAUUCAAAAAAUAUUAUGUAAGUUUAUUCAUAUAGACAAUUCUACCUUCUAUUUUCACCAAGAACUAACCUCUUUGGAUUUUUUGAGAUCAAGAGUUACAUUACGACAAGGCUAUAAAACAACAAGUUUUACUGUUUUUCAUGGCCAUUUUUUAAAACAACAUGUUUCAAGACUAUAAAACAACAGGUUUUACUAUUUUCAUGGUCGUUUUUUAUUUAAUGUCUUAUUUAUAUGUCUAGGAUUUCUAUAAAAUGACUCUUUUGUCAUAUUGUUUGUCUGUGCAGUAACCCAAUAGUUCAGCAGAGCUAGAAGAAGAAAUGAUGGCCAAAAUCUCAAAAUUCAAGGUUUGUCCAGUUAACAAAAAUGUAAUAAUAAAAAAUACAUCCAUUUUAUUCAAUCUGUGACCCACAGUAAAAAGAAAUGAACUUUCUUUUUAUGAGUUGCUUUAAACAAAAUAAACUUCUUUUUUCUUUUGUGACCUGCUGUAAGUAGCAACAAACUUUCUAAAUUUCUUCUUUUGCUUAGUAUUUUGAACCCAUAUUGUUGGAAUCUAAAUUACAUAUAUAUGCUUGAAAAUUUUCAUAUUUGUACUUCUUCAUGGAGUAAAUUUUAUAUAAUAAGUGUAAUUAAUCUUUAAAAUAAUUACAACCAACGAAGUUAAGAUUUUAUAUUUUCAUUAUUUUUUUUAAAUUUGUGUUUUGCUACACUAACAAUGCAAGCUGAGAAACAUGCCCCUUCUGACAUGCAAUGCAAAGACACACUUCUCCUUCAGACUUCAGAGUGUAAUUGUAAUCCCAUGAGCAACACCUGAAACGCUAAGUAUGAGCAUAUAUCCAAUUUACCCUUUCAUGAAUUUCUUUGAUUAAUUGGUUAACAAAUGAGGUCUAAGACAAAGGGGGAAAGGAACUAAGGCCAUGGUUACGCAAUUGCUUUUAGUUUUGUUUCAUAUGAUUGUUUUUAGUGUCAAAAAAGGUUAAGAAUGUGGACUUUAUUGUUUACGUAACUUGAGAAGUGUUUAUGAUCAAUGAACUCAUGAAAAAUUGUUUAUGAUCAAUGAAGUUCAUCAAUUACAUAGAGACGAGUCAAGGUGACACAAGAUUCUAAUGAGAUCUUCCAUUUUUGAAAAUUUAAAAGAUCCUACUAUCUAACUUUUUUAAAAUAUUUUGUAUAGUUUUUUUUCUUCAGUUGGUUCACCAAGUUGAGCAAGUUAAUUUUGGUAUCCAUGACUUGGACAUGCAAGGAGUUUCAAGUUUGGUAUUGAAAAGCCUAUGCAAUAUAGGUCUUUAAUCUUGUCUUUUGUUUGAAAUUUAUGUACAUGUAGGUGUGAGUAAUCGCUUAUUAUGACAUGUGUCGCCUGUAGCAUGUACUAUUUUUUUUAUCCAUUCGUAUUACAUUUAUAUUCUUGGUUCUAGGUUCAUUAAAUAUAUUUUUAAAUGAGAUGAUGUGGAAGUUGAUUACGUUGGUGCUUUGCACUAUUCUUGUAACACUCUAAUUCAGGUAUUACCACAAAAGCCCUUGAAGUUAUUAACUAUUGCAUAUUAAGACCUUAAGUACGUUGGGUGUACUUCAUGAGUACGCUUAGUGUACCACGAAUAGAUUAUUGCAGAGGGCCAGCACGUGUGCUAGGUGUACCAAGAGUACGCGGGACGUACGUGACUGGUGUACAAACCCUAAUUUCCGGACUUGAGACCUAUAUAAGCAUCCUUAUCUCAUUUGAGCUCCACCCUAACCAACCUCAUUCACCUUCAAACGUCGCUAAAAACCCUAGAAUCAUUUGGGAGUGUGUUUUGAGCUUAAGGAGUGCAUUUGUGGCCAUUUUAGUGUCCAUUCAAGAAGGAGGAGUUCCUAAGCAAGCUUGGGGUGGUUUUGGGCUUCAAAAAUCUACAUCUAGUUCACCUUGAGGAGCUUCUGGAGGUAUAAAGCUUUGAUCUUGCCAUCUUAUUCAUUAGAUCUAGCUAGGGUUUUCUAUUUUGUCCCGUUGGUUGGUUUUGGACCUCCACUUGAGAGUUGAGCAACUCCAGAGGCUGAAAUGGUUAGAUCUGAAGUCCUUUGGUCCAUUAAUAGCAUAAAAAUGAAGUCUUGAUGGGUGUUUUGACAUCAUGCAUGGAUUAAGACCCUUGGAAAGGUCUUAAUGGGUUAUUGGGAACAUAUGGGACAUGCAAAGGCAUAAAGUUGCCAACUUUAUACCCUAGGACGUUUUAAUGAGCUCAGAUCUGAUUAUUAGACGUUAGGAAAUUGAGUAUUAAGCACGUAAUGGAAGAAAGUGCUUAAUCUGUUAGUACGCUAGGCGUAACUUAGCGUACGCAGCGUGUACGGCCAAGGGAACCAGUACGCUACGCGUAGCAGGGUGGUACGGAUGGCGUAUGCACAACAGAUGACUUGGACUUGUUUUGGGCUUGUAUGCUUUUGGGCCUUGAUUAGUCAUUGGGCCUGGUCAUGUUUUGGAUUGGUAGACCAACUUAUCUGUUUUGGGCCAAGGUUUCUAUGGUUGGGGUUUAUUGGGACAUGAAGCCCAUUAAUGAUUUUGGACAUGGACUUGGGCCCAUUAACUAAGGAAGACCUUUUGGGCCAUUGUGAAAGGACUUGGAGUUGGGUUUCUCAAUUGGAUUGUGUUUAGCCCUAACCUUAGGUAAAGUUAUCAUUAUUCAGCACGGGAGGUUACAGACAGUUAGGAGAGCAGCUUUCGAAUUCGUCGGACAGAGGUGGGUCUUCUCACCAUAUCAAUGGGUCUAAGGCACCAAGGCCGACCCAUUUAUUGCUAUACAUAUUGAUAGUUGGCUAUGUGAUAUGUCGCUAGGACAUUUGUAUGAAAGACCCUGGGAGGUUCCCGUGGCAGUAUAUUAAGACCAUGAGGAGGUUCCCAUGGCAUCUCGUAUAAGUCCUUGGAGGGUUUCCUUGGAUUCUUAGUAUGUUUAGUUGUUUAUCUCGUAUGAUAUUUU